Long non-coding RNA from Drosophila ficusphila, 1065 nucleotides. RefSeq lists it as uncharacterized. NCBI's taxonomy places the organism in Eukaryota, Metazoa, Arthropoda, Insecta, Diptera, Drosophilidae. The record is from RefSeq and is a predicted model, not a curated record. The transcript is spliced from 2 exons.
GAUUUAAUUAGUUGCUUUUACACACAGGGUGGACACGUCACCCCUGGUUGUUGUUGUUCUUGGCUUUAUUCCCUAAAUACUUCUGUGGCGCACGCCAGACUUCGUUACGUAUCCGCCACGUCGCCUUCCAAGGGGCAGGCAGGCAGCCAUGAGCCAUGAGUCACGGGCUGCUGGCCGACGUGCGCAGCAAUCAGGAGCAUUCAGCCGUAGAGCGGAAGAGGCUUCAAAGAGUCUGGCGCUCCUACGGAUGGGAUGCAGCACCCAGAGAUGGGGAACCAGCGGCUCAUGUGGGCCACCACCACAUCUUCGGAGAUAAUCUACACACACCUCUGGUCGCAAUUUAUUUUGGGAAUUGAGCAAAUUGCAAGACGUCGACCGCAAUAGAAGCUGCAGAACGUGCAACGGGCGAGAAAAUACUGCCAAACAUUUCCACUCAAUGUUUUGUUUUGGCUUUCGGCCUACGGUUACUAUGGUGGUAAUGAAAAUCAAUGGCUUAACUGAAGGAACGUCAGAUGGUCGAGCGGGUCAACAACAACAGGGCCCUCACAUCGGCGGGUAAGCUGCCGUUAACAGCCCAUUCUCACCUCACCUGGAACCUCUGCUCAUCUACCUGACUGCCCGGCGCGUCUCGAGUGGGUGUCAAACUAUGGCUAAUGACACACAAAGGCGCCUGCAUUGUUCAACAGAGACGUACAAUAACAAUAAACAGAAGUGUAUAUGGAGCAUACACCGAGUGAUAUGUGAAGGAAGUAUUCUAGACGAGAACCAUAUGUCUCAAGGUGAAUCUGUAUCUCAAGGAUAUUCGGACAGGUAGUGCAAAGUUCCCAUAAACUACCUGAAUGUGUUUAGAGCGGUUAGCCAUAUUCCUACCACAAAUAUUUAAACAAUUAAAGGAAGUGCCCAAAAAGCUUUUAAAUUACAAAAGCACCAGUUAUUAAUGAGAAAUGUCUGACAUUUAUUGGCUUCUCAAAUUCUUGGCUUAAAAAAAUAAAAACAUAAUUAACUAAAUAAAUAUGGCAUAGAAAUGUUCCUAAGGGCUUAAUAAAAUCGAAAAAAAAAACGAAA